AAGACACCCCUCCGGGGCAAGACUUGCUUCAAUGGGGCUUUGGUGCUCACUGAGUCUGCCCCUGAGUAUGUCUUU
Molecule: non-coding RNA, 75 nt
Organism: Myotis lucifugus (little brown bat)
Lineage: Eukaryota; Metazoa; Chordata; Mammalia; Chiroptera; Vespertilionidae
Source: Rfam